RNAcentral lists this ribosomal RNA (319 nucleotides) under uncultured eukaryote. RNAcentral describes it as "partial 18S ribosomal RNA". It matches the Rfam family "Eukaryotic small subunit ribosomal RNA", at positions 1470 to 1796 of the family's 1831-position model. The record is from RNAcentral.
CCCUUAGAUGUUCUGGGCCGCACGCGCGCUACAAUGGUCUUCGCAAACGGAUGCAUUCUCGAAGGAGAAUGCCAAUCUUGGAAUCUAUGCCUUGGUCGGGACAGUUGCUUGCAAUUUUUCGACUCGAACCAGGAAUUCCUUGUAAUCGUGAUUCAUCACAUCACGAUGAAUACGUCCCUUCCCUUUGUACACACCGCCCGUCGCUCCUACCGAUCGAAGAGUUAGGUGAAUUGUUUUGAUCGAUAAGAUUUGACUAUGGUCAACUCUCGUUGUGAAAUUCUGUGAAUCUGACUGUUUAGAGGAAGGAAAAGUCGUAACA